Molecule: non-coding RNA, 452 nt
Organism: Cavia porcellus (domestic guinea pig)
Lineage: Eukaryota; Metazoa; Chordata; Mammalia; Rodentia; Caviidae
Source: the annotation of a RefSeq genome assembly
GGUCUGGGACAACCCAGUCUGAUUGUGGGGCUCCUAGUCCUAUGUACACCAUGGAUUGGACCCCUCUUCUCUUCCUGUUCCUCUUUUACUGCACAGGUUCCUCCUCCCAGCCUGUGCUGAUUCAACCAUCCUCCCUCUCUGCAUCUUCUGGAGCAAAUGCCAGACUCACCUGCACCCUGAGCAGCGGCGCUGUAGUUUCUGGUUACCACAUUUCCUGGUACCAGCAAAAGUCAGGGAACCGUCCUCAAUUUCUACUGAGAUACUACUCAGACUCAGAUAAAUACCAGGGCUCUGGGGUUCCCAACCGAUUCGUUGGAUCCAAAAACCCCUCAGCCAAUGCAGGAAUUUUGCUCAUCUCUGAACUCCAGAAUGAGGAUGAGGCUGACUAUUACUGUCUGACAUAUCAUGGCAACAGUGGUACUUACACAGUGCUUAAGAUGAAGGGGAAGUGA